Molecule: non-coding RNA, 30 nt
Filed under: Mus musculus (house mouse)
Lineage: Eukaryota; Metazoa; Chordata; Mammalia; Rodentia; Muridae
Source: RNAcentral
UUGAGUUCAAAAGGAGUCCCUUUGCUACUA